CAAGUCGAACGGCAGCGGGGAGGAGCUUGCUUCUCUGCCGGCGAGUGGCGAACGGGUGAGUAAUACAUCGGAACGUGUCGAGAAGAGGGGGAUAACCACCCGAAAGGGUGGCUAAUACCGCAUAAAUUCUGAGGAAGAAAGCUGGGGACCUAGGAAUAGGCCUAGCGCUUUUUGAGCGGCCGAUGUCGGAUUAGCUAGUUGGUGAGGUAAAGGCUCACCAAGGCGAAGAUCUGUAGCGGGUCUGAGAGGAUGAUCCGCCACACUGGGACUGAGACACGGCCCAGACUCCUACGGGAGGCAGCAGUGGGGAAUUUUGGACAAUGGGGGCAACCCUGAUCCAGCCAUGCCGCGUGUAUGAAGAAGGCCUUAGGGUUGUAAAGUACUUUUGUUAGGGAAGAAAAGUCAGCUGUGAAUAAUGGCUGAUACUGACGGUACCUAAAGAAUAAGCACCGGCUAACUACGUGCCAGCAGCCGCGGUAAUACGUAGGGUGCGAGCGUUAAUCGGAAUUAUUGGGCGUAAAGCGAGUGUAGACGGUUAUUUAAGCCAGAUGUGAAAUACCCGAGCCUAACUUGGGAGGUGCAUAUGGGACUGGGUAGCUAGAGUGUGUCAGAGGGAGGUAGAACUCCACGUGUAGCAGUGAAAUGCGUAGAGAUGUGGAAGAAUACCGAUGGCGAAGGCAGCCUCCUGGGAUAACACUGACGUUGAGGCUCGA
Molecule: ribosomal RNA, 713 nt
Filed under: uncultured Neisseriales bacterium
Lineage: Bacteria; Pseudomonadati; Pseudomonadota; Betaproteobacteria; Neisseriales
Description: bacterial SSU rRNA
Rfam family: Bacterial small subunit ribosomal RNA
Source: RNAcentral